GAUUUGAGUGCUUCAUUGGAAAAAAAAAUAAUAAGCAGGCGUUUAUUAAACAUUUGUUCUUCCUGAUGUGUUUUUUUUUCUUAUAUUUUAAUAAAAAUAAGUUAUUAAUAAUUUAAAUAUUAAUCCCACCACAAAACAAUCUGUAAACAAUGCUAGAAAUUAAAAAAGUGCUGUAUAGUUUAGGAAGUAAGAUUUGAACACAGACUGAUACAAAUGUUGAUGAUGGGUUUGCUAGUAACAACUUUAAAUUUGAAAAUGAACCAUUGAUUAAAUCCAUGAUCAUUGCUCUAAACUAGGCCUUUUGUCAAUGUAUUCAUCACAGAGUAAUGCUCAACAGCAUAUGCAUAAACUUAAAGGGACACUAGUCACAAGAACAACAACAGCUAAUUGUAUUUGUUCUGGUGAGUAGAAUCAUUCCCUUCAGGCUUUUGCAGUAGACAGUUUUCAGAGAAAAUGCAGUGUGUACAUUACAGCCUAGUGAUAACUUCACUGGCCACUGCUCAGAUGGCUUCUAGAGGCCCUUCCUAAGGCAGUCCUGCCUAGUGUGCAGUACUGCCAUUCAGUGUCUCCACCCUGUGCAUGAAGACACUGCAUAUUCCUCAAAGAGAUACAUUGAUUCAAUGCAUCUCUAUGCGGAGAUGCUAAUAGGCUGUGUUUGGCAUCUGCUGGCUCUGCCUCCUUGACAGUCUCAGGCAACCCAAUGCUUUCCUACGCGAAAGCAUUGUGAUUGGCUCACAACACCACUUCUGAUGAUAUCAGUGAAGCAGGCAGAUCAGGGACACAGUCAGCAGCAGCAGACCGGAAUAAAAGUAAGAGUUUGCUAUAUUUAGAGGAGCAAGAGGUGGCCCGGGGUGCUAGAUGGGGGUUUUAACAAUAUAGUGUCAGGAAUUCAUAUUUGUGUUACUGACCCUAUAUUGUUCCCUUAACACAAACACAACUUCCCCCUAUCCCCCAAAACAAAAACAAAAUGACUUUUUCCCACUCAGAUGCUUCUCAUGGAGAUUUAUUAAUGACACAUGGCAUAUGCUAGGUAAUCAAUGCAAUAUCCCAGCGUUAGAAAAAAAAAAGCUAUUGAAUAUAUUUGACAUCCGCCAUCAGCAUGUAAAUUAUGCUAGCUUUUAAUCCCAUGAUAAUAAACCAUUUGUUAAUUAAAGGGACACUAUAGUCAGCAGAACAACUAGAGCUUAUUGUAUUUGUUCUGGUGAGUGAACCAUUCCCUUCUGGCUUUUUGCUCUAAACAUUGCUUUAUUUCAGAGAAAAGCAAUGAUUACAUUACAGCCUAGUGAUAACUCCACUGGCCACUCCUUAGAUGUCUACUAGAGGUGCUUCCUUGGGAAGUGCUGCACAGUGUGCAGGACUGACAUUCAGUGUCUCCACCCUCUGCAUGGAGAAACUGAACUUUCCUCAAUGUAUCUCUAUGAGAUGAUGCUGAUUUCACAGGGCUGUGUUUGUCUUGUGCUGGCUCUGCCCCUGAUCUGUCUCUUUGACAAGCUCAGCCAAUUCUUAUGGGAAAGCAUUGUGAUUAGCUAAGCUCAACACUUCUGAUGUCAGCCAAGAAGGCAGACUAGGGGCAGAGCCAGCACCAGCAGGCUGGAAUAAAAGGAAGAUUUUAAUUUAGGGGCUAAAUGGUGGUUUUAACACUAUAGGGUCAGGCAAUUUCAGGUUCUAGUUAAAUCUAUUUCUAUAGCAAUAGAAAAUUCAUCCUGUAAUAUACUACAAGAUAAAAUCCAAUGCUCUUGAAUUCAAAGUGAAUUUAGGGAGGUUGCAAUAUUAAAUGCAGCAAUUUUGGUUUCUAGUGACUAACAAGAACAGGUUUGCACGAACCUUGGGACACAGAGUUGCAUUGAACUCAGCAGCUCACUAAGAACGCUCGGGAAAACGUAUAAAAAAAAUAGAUCAAAGUUUGAAAACUGGAGCCACCAAAAUAAACAGCAAUCAUUAUAGGUUGCCAUGGUGAUGACUCCAUUUUUAGAAUGUCAGCAGCGAUCCACAACAGACCACCAGUCAACCUGGCCCCCCUCUUAAGGGACAGAACGUCCCCUUGUACUGUACAGCCUAUUUCUUUACCUGCCCAAUGGGUUAUUCAGAUUUAUGUAGCAAGUCACAAUCAUGAAGACUUUUAUGUAGAUAUAAAUUAUAGCCGAUUGUUCUAUUGCAACAGUAUGCUUUUCUAGCAGAUUAAUGAUGAUGCAUCUGAUUUUAUGAGGGCACCAACCACUCUGCUAAUGCAAUGAUUAACCCUUUAAAGGUAAUGUCUAAGUGUCUUUGCAUGCCUAUAACAGAACAGAAAUACCUGCACACUGCCUUGUAAUGCAAUGUUUUUUUUUUUCCUGCACUACAGAGUGGCUUUUUUUAUUUAAUCCUAGGCUGUAGAAAUAUGCUUGCUGCAUAAAAUACAUAAAAGAGACCAACGUGGUGUAAUUUGUAGGUAGAUAUUUUUUCCCAUUUAAAACACUCUACAAAAGUUAUUGUUAAAAGAAGGCAUUUAAUAAAAUGGGGACCACUAGAUCACUGCUGUGAUCACUUCCACAUACAUUGGGUAAUGAAUUAUGGAUACAUUGCAUAGUCCCCAUGCACACAUCAUGUUAUGUUGAGGGUAUAGACUAUAAAUGGGCAUUCUCAGAUAUACAGCAUAUGUAAAGAACUUUUUUUACAGGAGGUAUUUUGCAAUUGGUAAAGCAGCACACAAAAAAUAUUAAACAUACCACAUGAUAAAACUGUAUGGUAUGAUGGUCAGAUCCCCCAAUUGGGGAUUAUUUAAAAGGAUAAUAUAGGCACCAUAAUCACUACAGCAUGGUGUAGUACACUAAUGGCUAAACCUGGACUACAUUUCCCAUGACGCUCAGCUAGCUUUUAGAGAGUCUAAAACAGGGCUGUCCAACCUACGGCCCCCCAGAUGUUGCUGAACUACAACUCCAGUGAUUCCUCUGUUUCAUAGAAAGAAUCAUGGGAGUUGUAGUUCAGCAACAUCUGGAGGGCCACAGGUUGGACAGGCCUGGUCUAAAAGCUAGCUGAGCAUCAUGGGAAAUGUAGUCCAGAAACAAAUUAUGGUGUCAAGGUUAGCCAUCACUGGUGUAGUAGUUCUGUUUCCAGUAGUGCCUUGGUGCGCUCCCACUGUAAGAAGUCAAGUGAAGUCAGACCAUUCUAAAAUAAUUUAAGUAUGCCAGUCCUCACCUCAGAGCUGUAAGCUCUUGCUCAGAAGUUUCUGCUAGCUCUACGGAGCUAUGGCGCAGGCCCAGCUCGUUGGCCGAGUGUGUCAGCUAACCACUCUCUGAUCCAGGCUUAGCUCAGGUAGAGAUCUUACGACUGUCAAGGAGGCCGAUUGUGGCACCCAGCAAACCCCAGAUCAAACGUCAAACAGUUCUAAAACAGUUUGACUAGUUUCAUUUGGGGGUGCUAGUGCACUGUAAUGGUUAUGGUGCUUGGAAUGUUCCUUUAAAUCACACAAGUCACACAAUUCAUGCUUGUGCCUGCAGUCUGAUCACUAGGCCGUUAUAAACUAAGCAGCAAAUGUAAUAAAAAUACAUUUAAAAAGGAAGGCCAAAAUCUGUUAAUUGUAAGAAUUUCCCUCAAUUCAACCAGAUUCCAAACUUGGCUAUGCUGUCUUACAUUUAAUGUUUUCAAUUGACAACGGAUCCCUGUUUUAACUAUUUAACGUAAAAACCACUUCUGUUAAAUCCUAGAAAUAAUGGGUGAGAUCUCACAUUAAUUCACUAAACAAUACUUUGUACUGAAUUCACUCAUUUACAAGAGGACUCUUAGCUGUAUGUCCAGAGUGGGUAUUUUAGUCUGAACGAAUGUAUCAGCUUAUCACAACUCAAUGUUUAGGGUAUGAACUACUUACAGAGCUUUUACUUGUAGUUCCCUUACCACCAAAUAUACCUUCCUCCCCCUCUCUCUCUCUAUGUAUUAUUUUUCAAGUUUUAAAGUUCUAGCACAAUGCAAAAUGUGCUCUUUAAAAAAAAUUUAGGGAUUCAUUCACUAAACCAGUGGGUGCCCACAAGGUAUAUCCCCGGAUGUUUCAAAAACUACAGCUUCCAUGAUGCUUUGUAAUUCCAAUGUCAUGCAAAGCAUCAUGGGAGUUUUAGUUCUACAACACAUGAGGAUCUACCUUUUGGGCACCCCGGCACUAAACUGUUUGUCAAGCAGAUUUGUAAAAAAAAAUAUUAAAAAAAUGGAUAUACCGAUGGUCUAAAUUGUACAAGUCUGUUAUAAAUCAACCACUAUGAGCUUUUUAGCGAAUAAACCCAUGGACAGAUUAAUUAUAUGAUAAUCACUAUUUCACAAGCUCAAUAAUUAAUUUAUUUUCUUAUUGUAAUUAAAGGCCAGCAUCAUGUUGACAUUUCUUUUUCUAUGAUGCCCAACAUUUGUUACUGUUGUAUGCCAUUGUCGGUAAUUUUUAUUGUUGCUUUGCAAAAUGUUUGCCCCUGACACCCAUCAGUGCUGUGAGGGGGGCACAGUAUAAAAAGCUAUAACAGGCCAAAUACAGGCACAUGGGGGAAUUAAUUAUAUCUUUACCAAUUGUUUUGUGUGUAAAAUUUCAAUAUUUAUUUUAUAAAAUUUGUGUACAUUGUUUCAUUUUGAAAACAUUAACUGUAUAUUUACUUAAGCCAUUUGUGUAUUAAUUGUUUGUUUGUUUUUUAUAUACCUAAUGGUAUGCACUGCUGAUGACAUAAUUGCAGUAUUCUUUCCCUUUGCUCAUUUAGUUACUGCAUAACGCUACUUUAAAUACUAAUAGAACGUGUACUUAAUAUUGUACAAAUUCAAUUUUUGCAUCAUUACAAAAUAAUAAAUAGAUGAGCAUAUUAUUGUUUGGAUAUUUUGUUCUUAUUAUAUGGUACAGCAGGUAAAACAUUUUACCAUAACUUUCAUGUUAUGGUCAAGCUUUAAGAUACAUUCAUUUAUAAUGGGAAGAUGGUCAGAAUUGCUGUCAGGUACUUGCAAAAUGAAGCCACUGG
Molecule: non-coding RNA, 4958 nt
Organism: Pelobates cultripes (western spadefoot toad)
Lineage: Eukaryota; Metazoa; Chordata; Amphibia; Anura; Pelobatidae
Source: the annotation of a GenBank genome assembly